This 497-nucleotide ribosomal RNA is filed under the name uncultured bacterium. RNAcentral describes it as "partial 16S ribosomal RNA". It matches the Rfam family "Bacterial small subunit ribosomal RNA", at positions 28 to 507 of the family's 1533-position model. The record is from RNAcentral.
GAUGAACGCUGGCGGCGUGCCUAAUACAUGCAAGUCGAGCGAACGGACGAGAAGCUUGCUUCUCUGAUGUUAGCGGCGGACGGGUGAGUAACACGUGGAUAACCUACCUAUAAGACUGGGAUAACUUCGGGAAACCGGAGCUAAUACCGGGUAAUAUUUUGAACCGCAUGGUUCAAAAGUGAAAGACGGUCUUGCUGUCACCUAUAGAUGGAUCCGCGCUGCAUUAGCUAGUUGGUAAGGUAACGGCUUACCAAGGCAGCGAUGCAUAGCCGACCUGAGAGGGUGAUCGGCCACACUGGAACUGAGACACGGUCCAGACUCCUACGGGAGGCAGCAGUAGGGAAUCUUCCGCAAUGGGCGAAAGCCUGACGGAGCAACGCCGCGUGAGUGAUGAAGGUCUUCGGAUCGUAAAACUCUGUUAUUAGGGAAGAACAUAUGUGUAAGUAACUGUGCACAUCUUGACGGUACCUAAUCAGAAAGCCACGGCUAACUACGUG